RNAcentral lists this ribosomal RNA (440 nucleotides) under uncultured bacterium. RNAcentral describes it as "partial 16S ribosomal RNA". It matches the Rfam family "Bacterial small subunit ribosomal RNA", at positions 338 to 795 of the family's 1533-position model. The record is from RNAcentral.
CCUACGGGUGGCAGCAGUGGGGAAUAUUGCACAAUGGGGGGAACCCUGAUGCAGCGACGCCGCGUGAGUGAAGAAGUAUUUCGGUAUGUAAAGCUCUAUCAGCAGGGAAGAAAAUGACGGUACCUGACUAAGAAGCCCCGGCUAACUACGUGCCAGCAGCCGCGGUAAUACGUAGGGGGCAAGCGUUAUCCGGAUUUACUGGGUGUAAAGGGAGCGUAGACGGUUGCGCAAGUCUGAAGUGAAAUGCCGGGGCUUAACCCCGGGACUGCUUUGGAAACUGUGCAGCUAGAGUGCAGGAGAGGUAAGCGGAAUUCCUAGUGUAGCGGUGAAAUGCGUAGAUAUCACGAAGAACCCCGAUUGCGAAGGCAGCUUACUGGACUGUGACUGACGUUGAGGCUCGAAAGUGUGGGUAUCAAACAGGAUUAGAUACCCUAGUAGUC